GAUGAACGCUGGCGGCGUGCCUAAUACAUGCAAGUCGAGCGAACAGACGAGGAGCUUGCUCCUCUGACGUUAGCGGCGGACGGGUGAGUAACACGUGGAUAACCUACCUAUAAGACUGGGAUAACUUCGGGAAACCGGAGCUAAUACCGGAUAAUAUAUUGAACCGCAUGGUUCAAUAGUGAAAUACGGUUUUGCUUUCACUUAUAGAUGGAUCCGCGCCGCAUUAGCUAGUUGGUAAGGUAACGGCUUACCAAGGCGACGAUGCGUAGCCGACCUGAGAGGGUGAUCGGCCAAACUGGAACUGAGACACGGUCCAGACGCCUACGGGAGGCAGCAGUAGGGAAUCUUCCGCAAUGGGCGAAAGCUUGACGGAGCAACGCCGCGUGAGUGAUGAAGGUCUUCGGAUCGUAAAACUCUGUUAUUAGGGAAGAAAAAAUGUGUAAGUAACUAUGCACGUCUUGACGGUACCUAAUCAGAAAGCCACGGCUAACUACGUG
This 497-nucleotide ribosomal RNA is filed under the name uncultured bacterium. Its description in RNAcentral is "partial 16S ribosomal RNA". It matches the Rfam family "Bacterial small subunit ribosomal RNA", at positions 28 to 507 of the family's 1533-position model. The record is from RNAcentral.